GUGGGGAAUCUUGGACAAUGGGCGCAAGCCUGAUCCAGCCAUGCCGCGUGGAUGAUGAAGGCCUUAGGGUUGUAAAAUCCUUUCGUCGGGGACGAUAAUGACGGUACCCGAAGAAGAAGCUCCGGCUAACUUCGUGCCAGCAGCCGCGGUAAUACGAAGGGGGCUAGCGUUGUUCGGAUUUACUGGGCGUAAAGCGCGUGUAGGCGGGUCGUUAAGUUGGGGGUGAAAUCCCGAGGCUCAACCUCGGAACUGCCUUCAAAACUGGCGACCUGGAGCAAAGAAGAGGCGAGUGGAAUUGCGAGUGUAGAGGUGAAAUUCGUAGAUAUUCGCAGGAACACCAGUGGCGAAGGCGACUCGCUGGUCUUUUGCUGACGCUGAGACGCGAAAGCGUGGGGAGCAAACAGGAUUAGAUACCCCAGUAGUCC
Molecule: ribosomal RNA, 425 nt
Filed under: uncultured bacterium
Lineage: Bacteria
Description: bacterial SSU rRNA
Rfam family: Bacterial small subunit ribosomal RNA
Source: RNAcentral